CAGCGUCACGAGUAGCAACCAUAUUUAUUGGGCCUAAAGCGUCCGUAGCCGGUUUGAUAAGUCUUUUGUGAAAUCGUUGCGCUCAACGUAACGUUGUGCAAGAGAUACUGUCAGACUUGGAAUUGGGAAGAGUUAGAGGUAUUCUGGGGGGAGCGGUAAAAUGCUAUAAUCCCUGGAGGACCACCAGUGGCGAAAGCGUCUAACUAGAACAACUUCGACGGUGAGGGACGAAAGCCAGGGGAGCAAAACGGAUUAGAGACCCGAGUAGUCC
RNAcentral lists this ribosomal RNA (271 nucleotides) under uncultured archaeon. RNAcentral describes it as "partial 16S ribosomal RNA". It matches the Rfam family "Archaeal small subunit ribosomal RNA", at positions 477 to 747 of the family's 1478-position model. The record is from RNAcentral.